Molecule: ribosomal RNA, 253 nt
Filed under: uncultured bacterium
Lineage: Bacteria
Description: partial 16S ribosomal RNA
Rfam family: Bacterial small subunit ribosomal RNA
Source: RNAcentral
UACGAAGGGGGCUAGCGUUGCUCGGAAUCACUGGGCGUAAAGCGCACGUAGGCGGAUCUUUAAGUCAGGGGUGAAAUCCUGGAGCUCAACUCCAGAACUGCCUUUGAUACUGAGGAUCUUGAGUCCGGGAGAGGUGAGUGGAACUCCGAGUGUAGAGGUGAAAUUCGUAGAUAUUCGGAAGAACACCAGUGGCGAAGGCGGCUCACUGGCCCGGUACUGACGCUGAGGUGCGAAAGCGUGGGGAGCGAACGGG